This is a long non-coding RNA of Macrobrachium nipponense, 302 nucleotides long. RefSeq lists it as uncharacterized. The record is from RefSeq and is a predicted model, not a curated record. Lineage: Eukaryota; Metazoa; Arthropoda; Malacostraca; Decapoda; Palaemonidae. The transcript is spliced from 2 exons.
CAGCCCGGCAGUCACAGAGCAAAGACCGAACUCACUUGGGAAGGUUCAUACCAUUUUGAUUCGCCCGACAUGCCUGUCUUAGGCUAAAGGCUUAUAUAGGGAUCCCUGGUCUACGUCACCCUCUUGUGAACAUCUGCCAAAAUCCAUCUGCAACGCCCUUUGUGCAUGGUUCGACAAUGACAGCGAGCGAAGCUGAACGAAGGAAACUCCCAACGAUCUACGUGAAUUGCCUUGUUCUCCCAAAAAUUGUUUGUAACUACGUUAUUUUAAAGGCUUAUUUAUGUAAUAAAUAUCACAUUUAA